This 541-nucleotide long non-coding RNA is filed under the name Ananas comosus (pineapple). RNAcentral describes it as "long non-coding RNA (ACOM_LNC000435)". Lineage: Eukaryota; Viridiplantae; Streptophyta; Magnoliopsida; Poales; Bromeliaceae. The record is from RNAcentral.
AAGCCAUCGAUGCCCUUGUCGAUGCUCAACUAUGUUACGACAAGUGCACAAACGGAAACGAAAAUGGCGAAUACAAAAUAAACAAACCACAAACAGAAAUAGAAGAAUACACAGAUUUAUGUGAAAAAUCUAUUGCAGGAAAAAACCACGGGCGAGAGAGACGAGAACUUCACUAUCGAAUGAAAAAGAGAACACAAUGUUAAGAGAGUACAACCAACUUCAAUAUGUCGCCUCUAGGGCAAAAAUGGCAAAGGAAAUUCUUAACGGGUUUCGGAUCUGAUCCAUACCGUGGGGGCCGUACCCCCCGGCGAACGUCAGUGGUGGGUUAUGGGCUCGGGCCUGUCGGUCCGAACCCUCCGCUACCCACCACAAACAUUCAUUUUUUCUUUACAAUUUUUAUUUUUCAAUUUGGUCGCACCGCGAAACUGUCGACAAGUCGAAAUUCCGAACUGAAGUCGAUUAUCAAUUUCGAAUCACAUCUAACAAACUACUUCACCACGAGAACUUCGAUAUUCACAAUAAUAUCAAUCUCAAGACUAGA